This 377-nucleotide ribosomal RNA is filed under the name Enterobacter hormaechei. RNAcentral describes it as "bacterial SSU rRNA". It matches the Rfam family "Bacterial small subunit ribosomal RNA", at positions 558 to 935 of the family's 1533-position model. The record is from RNAcentral. Lineage: Bacteria; Pseudomonadati; Pseudomonadota; Gammaproteobacteria; Enterobacterales; Enterobacteriaceae.
GCGUAAGCGCACGCAGGCGGUCUGUCAAGUCGGAUGUGAAAUCCCCGGGCUCAACCUGGGAACUGCAUUCGAAACUGGCAGGCUAGAGUCUUGUAGAGCGGGGUAGAAUUCCAGGUGUAGCGGUGAAAUGCGUAGAGAUCUGGAGGAAUACCGGUGGCGAAGGCGGCCCCCUGGACUAAGACUGACGCUCAGGUGCGAAAGCGUGGGGAGCAAACAGGAUUAGAUACCCUGGUACUCCACGCCGUAAACGAUGUCGACUUGGAGGUUGUGCCCUUGAGGCGUGGCUUCCGGAGCUAACGCGUUAAGUCGACCGCCUGGGGAGUACGGCCGCAAGGUUAAAACUUCAAUGAAUUGACGCGGGCCCGCACACGCGGUGG